CCUACGGGGCGCAGCAGUGAGGAAUAUUGGUCAAUGGCCGAGAGGCUGAACCAGCCAAGUCGCGUGAGGGAAGAAUGUCCUAUGGAUUGUAAACCUCUUUUGUCAGGGAGCAAAGUCACCCACGUGUGGGUGUUGGAGAGUAGCUGAAGAAAAAGCAGCGGCUAACUACGUGCCAGCAGCCGCGGUAAUACGGAGGAUGCGAGCGUUAUCCGGAUUGAUUGGGUUUAAAGGGUGCGUAGGCGGGUUAUCAAGGCAGCGGUAAAAUCGUGGAGCUCAACUCCAUCCAGCCGUUGAAACUGAUGAUCUGGAGUGGGCGAGAAGUAUGCGGAAUGCGUGGUGUAGCGGUGAAAUGCAUAGAUAUCACGCAGAACUCCGAUUGCGAAGGCAGCAUACCGGCGCCCGACUGACGCUGAAGCACGAAAGCGUGGGUAUCGAACAGGAUUAGAUACCCGAGUAGUC
Molecule: ribosomal RNA, 459 nt
Filed under: uncultured bacterium
Lineage: Bacteria
Description: partial 16S ribosomal RNA
Rfam family: Bacterial small subunit ribosomal RNA
Source: RNAcentral